RNAcentral lists this ribosomal RNA (460 nucleotides) under uncultured bacterium. RNAcentral describes it as "partial 16S ribosomal RNA". It matches the Rfam family "Bacterial small subunit ribosomal RNA", at positions 338 to 795 of the family's 1533-position model. The record is from RNAcentral.
CCUACGGGAGGCAGCAGUGAGGAAUAUUGGUCAAUGGACGAGAGUCUGAACCAGCCAAGUAGCGUGAAGGAUGACUGCCCUAUGGGUUGUAAACUUCUUUUAUAUGGGAAUAAAAUGUUCCACGUGUGGGAUUUUGUAUGUACCAUAUGAAUAAGGAUCGGCUAACUCCGUGCCAGCAGCCGCGGUAAUACGGGGGGUCCGAGCUUUAUUCGGAUUUAUUUGGGUUAAAGGGAGCGUAGGGGGAUUGGUAAGUCAGUUGUGAAAGUUUGCGGCUCAACCGUAAAAUUGCAGUUGAAACUGGCAGUCUUGAGUGCAGUAGAGGUGGGCGGAAUUCGUGGUGUAGCGGUGAAAUGCUUAGAUAUCACGAAGAACUCCGAUUGCGAAGGCAGCUCACUGGACUGCAACUGACACUGAGGCACGAAAGUGUGGGUAUCAAACAGGAUUAGAUACCCUAGUAGUC